RNAcentral lists this ribosomal RNA (305 nucleotides) under uncultured bacterium. RNAcentral describes it as "bacterial SSU rRNA". It matches the Rfam family "Bacterial small subunit ribosomal RNA", at positions 332 to 630 of the family's 1533-position model. The record is from RNAcentral.
GUUAGCCUACGGGGCGCAGCAGUAGGGAAUCUUCCACAAUGGGCAAAAGCCUGAUGGAGCAACGCCGCGUGGGUGAAGAAGGUCUUCGGAUCGUAAAACUCUGUUGUUAGAGAAGAGAGUGCGUGAGAGUAACUGUUCACGUUUCGACGGUAUCUAACCAGAAAGCCACGGCUAACUACGUGCCAGCAGCCGCGGUAAUACGUAGGUGGCAAGCGUUAUCCGGAUUUAUUGGGCGUAAAGGGAACGCAGGCGGUCUUUUAAGUCUGAUGUGAAAGCCUUCGGCUUAACCGGAGUAGGGCAUUGGA